RNAcentral lists this transfer RNA (62 nucleotides) under Schizocosa floridana. Its description in RNAcentral is "tRNA-Leu". Lineage: Eukaryota; Metazoa; Arthropoda; Arachnida; Araneae; Lycosidae. The record is from RNAcentral.
AUGCAUUAGAAUUAGAAUCUAAUUAAAUAANAAAUAAUAUUUAUCUCUAUUAAUUUUAUUUU